Juglans microcarpa x Juglans regia is the source of this 1059-nucleotide long non-coding RNA. RefSeq lists it as uncharacterized. Lineage: Eukaryota; Viridiplantae; Streptophyta; Magnoliopsida; Fagales; Juglandaceae. The transcript is spliced from 2 exons. The record is from RefSeq and is a predicted model, not a curated record.
AUUGCACACUGGUAAGCAAGCAGGGGUACAUUUCAACCUUUGAUAUCUUGGAUGAAAUCUCUAUUGAUGAUUGUAACAAAAUAGUCCACUACACACUUUACUAUAACAAAGAGGAGUGCGAGUUAAAAUGCACGUGUGCAUUGUUUGAGAUGAGGGAAAUUUUAUGUAGGCAUGCACUUAAAGUUUUUCAGUUGUCCUGAAUUAAUGUGUUGCCAGAUUGAUAUGUCUUGGAUUGCUGGAGGAAGGAUGAGAAGAGGAGAUACACAUUGAUCAAAAGUAUUUAUGAUGACUUGGGGGUGAGUGGAGAUGCACGGAAGUAUGAGAUGGUGGUUAAAAGAUGCAUGAAAUUAGCAACUAAAAUAUCCCCAAGUGAUGAGCUUGUCAAUGCAUUCCUGCUUUAUGUCGAUGACUUUGAUUCAAAAUGUGAUGAUGUAACAUUUGGAUCGAGAUUUGAAUCAACGAAAGUUGGACCGAAUGUAGUCACAGAUAAUGGUAAGAAGAUAUUAAGCCCCCACGUGGUUUGAGGGAAAGGGAGACCCCUAAGUAAGAGAAAUGUUCCGCCUAUAGAAAAUAUGGCAAGAAAGAGAAAAGCUUGUAAGAAAAUAUUGGAUGAUGAAACACAAUUGGGUGACAACCCAGGAUCUCAACACCACCAAUUUGAUGAUGGGGUUGGUGCUGGGACACAAAAUAGCAUUGUCACACAAUCGAUGCCAUCAGGAAAUCAGGAGGUAUUAAGCUAUUGGUUAAAUGUGUCUUUGAAUAUAUUUUUUUCAAUUAAAGAUUGCAUGCAUAAUUUAAAAGUUGUUUACAUUAUAGUUGUUUUCUUUCAGAUGUGCCGCCAUCAUUGAGUUGUUGUUUUUGUGUCUGUUGGUAAUGACCAUGGUGUAAUUUGUGUUUGUUGAUGUGUUUCAUUUUUGUUCCUCUUGGAAAGGGUUGUGUUUAGUUUGAAAAUAUGCAAACUAUUUCUUUUUUGUUCCACUUAGAGAGGGUUGGGUGUAGUUUGCGAAUGUGCAAAGUGUUUCAUUUUUGUUCCUCUUGGAGAGGGUAGGGUGUAGUUUG